This 2922-nucleotide ribosomal RNA is filed under the name Triticum aestivum (bread wheat). RNAcentral describes it as "partial small subunit ribosomal RNA". Lineage: Eukaryota; Viridiplantae; Streptophyta; Magnoliopsida; Poales; Poaceae. The record is from RNAcentral.
AUGUUCAGAUAUAUCUGGGUUUGGCUUCAAGCCUUGUUCGGAUAUGUCAAGGUUUGGCCUCCUGAGGCUCAUGAUUCUGCCUGGCUCGGGGCAGCGCAGGCGAUGGAGGAGGAGCCGGUUACUGUUUCGCUCGGCCCCAUUGGCCCUCUCUUCCAGCAACUCCGUUCUGUGAUUGCUGCCCUCCAAGCCAACAGUGAUCGGCUCAAGCUCAAGGGGGUUAAGGCCCAGAUCCAGAUUCUCGGCCAAGAACUGGAGUGGCUAUGCAUCGACCUCAAGGGCAGAUCGGAGACGCCGGCAGACGCCAUCACCAUGUGCUGGAUGAAGCAGGUCCGGGAUCUGUGCUAUGAUACGGCGGACUACCUCGACGAGCUCGUGCACUUCAUCCACUGCUCCUCCGGUACCCGCCGCCGUAGGAUUAGGGUCCGUCUUUUUGGGGGGAAUAAUCGUCCUGUUGGAUCCAAGACCUAUCGGAUGUCCAGGAAGCUCACCUGGCUUUCCUUGCCAAAGGUGAAGAAAUUGAAGCGAGCGCCCUUGAUUGCAAAAUUGACAGCACUGGCAGCCCGUGUCGAGGAUGCGGAUGAAAGACGCAAAAGAUUCAAGUUCUCUUCACCCACACCCAGCAAACCUGACUAUGGACAAGCAGCUGUUCUCAUGCCCCAGAUUACCACCCCCGAACUCCACAUCGACAAGGUCUACAAGCUGCUGGACUUGGAUGGCAAUGAGAUGGAGAAAAAUCUCAAGGUGGUAACUAUCUUUGGAUCUGCCGGUGUUGACAAAACAGCAAUUGCCAGGACCUUGUAUCACCAGCAUGGAGGGAGGUUCCAGCACCGGGCUUUCAUCCGGGUCACUCGAGAUCCCGAUAUGAGGAGGCUUCUCACCGACAUGCUCUCACAAAUAAAGGCGCCACCGGCAAAUCAAUUUUCUAAUGUCCGAGAACUUAUAGUCCACAUCACCAAACAUCUGCAAGGAAAAAGGUACUUAAUUAUAGUAGAUGACCUAUGGACCACGUCAACCUGGGAUAUUAUCAUCCGAGCUCUUGCUGAUGGUGAUUAUUGCAGAAUAAUAACAACAACACAGGUUGAGGAUGUAGCCCUGGCAUGCUGCAGUUAUCAGUUAAAGCAUAUAUAUGAGAUUACUCCUCUUAAUGACGAUCAAUCAGGAAAAUCUGAGGGCAGUUGUACCACAUAUCCUAGUUCCAAAAGGAUGAAAGAAGCUCUAAACCUUGAGUAUAAUAAUCUCCCACCCCGUUUGAAGACUUGCUUGUUAUAUCUGAAUAUGUAUCCCGAGGGAUACACGGUCUGGAAGGAUGAAUUGGUGAAGCAAUGGUUAGCUGAAGGUUUCAUCGGCUCUGUACAAGGACAAGACAUAGAGGAUACUGCAGGUUACUAUUUUGAUGCUCUCAUCAGUAGUGGACUGGUCCAAUCUGUGGAUACCAAUCAUAAUGGUGAUGUGUUGUCAUGUACACUUCACCACAUGGUACUGGAUCUUAUAAGACAAAAAUCCAUGGAGGAGAAUUUCGUCACUAUUGUGAAUUAUUUUCAAACAAUUCUUGGACUUUCGGACAAGGUUCGUCGACUGUCUGUCCAGUUGGGAGGUGCAAAAGGUGCAAAUAAUAUACCAGAGAAUAUGAGAAUAUCCCAAGUUAGAUCACUUCUAUUUUCUGGAUUCUUCAAAUGUGCACCUUCCAUUGUGCAUUAUGGGCUUCUUCAAGUUUUAGUUCUUCAUAUUUGGUCUGAUAAAGAUGAGAUUUUUGAUCUGGCUACAAUUGGUGAGCUAUAUCGAUUGAGAUAUCUGAAGAUUGAGUGUAAUAUCACUAUCAAGCUUCCGGGCAACAUUCAAAGGCUGCGACACUUGGGUACUUUGCAAGUAGAUUCAAGAUUAUCUUCUGUUCCGUCUGGUAUUGUUCAACUGGAGAAGUUGUUGCACCUCUGCCUUCCGAGUGAGUCUAUUCUGCCUCAUGGGGUUGGCCGAAUGACAUGUCUUCGCACUCUGGGGUAUUUUGAUCUCGGCCGUAACUCAGAAGAUAAUCUGAGGGAUCUUGGUGAGCUGAUAAAUCUCCAGGAUCUUCAGCUGACCCGUUCUACAGCACAGCCUGCUGACAGUCUUGAAAAUAAUAUGCAACUCCUGGGCUCAGUUCUUAAGAAACUCAGCAUCCUGCAGUCUGUAACUCUUCUACCCACUGCAGAAUCCUCUAAUGUAUAUACUCUGAAGGAUGAAGCUCAUGUUUCAAGGAUGCGCAUUUCCUGUGACGGCUUGUGCAUGGUGUCCCCUGCCCCAGCCCAUCUUCAGAGAAUCGAGUUGUCGUAUCGCUGUUGCAUCUUCUCCAAACUCCCCAAGUGGCUUGGAGAACUCACCAAACUCCGCAUUCUUAAGAUUGCAGUUGGGGAGCUAUCAAAGGAAAAUAUUAAUAUACUGAAAGUACUACCUGCUCUUGCAGCGCUGUCGUUGCAUUUACCGACAAUGACUGCAGAAAGGAUUGUCUUUGGCAAGGGAGGAUUCAAAGUUCUCACAUACUUCAAGUUCAAGUGCACUGUGCCUUGGCUAAAAUUUGAAGCAGAUGCAAUGCCUAUUCUCGGGAAGCUCAAGCUGAGCUUCAAUUCCCCGAUAGUGGAUGAACAAGGAGCUACACCUAUCAUCAUCGAGCACUUGUCAUCAGGAAUUAAAGAGAUCUCUGCAAAAAUUUGUUGUAGAGGCGUUAAUGCAAGGUCUGCCUUGCUGAAAGCCAUUAGAAAUGAUCCAGGAAAUCCUGAGGUGCAAUUGAGGGGUCCCAUCUAUUAUGAUGACAAAGGUAGAGGAAUGGUGACACGUGAAGGCUCAAGGGAAGAUGAGAACAAUGAAGUUCAUAGCGGUUCAUAUGCUGCCGAAGUCCUCACGUCUACCUGUUCCUGCAAUACACAGCAGGGUAGAAGAACUGGAAGAUAG